Molecule: ribosomal RNA, 253 nt
Filed under: uncultured bacterium
Lineage: Bacteria
Description: partial 16S ribosomal RNA
Rfam family: Bacterial small subunit ribosomal RNA
Source: RNAcentral
UACGAAGGGUGCUAGCGUUGCUCGGAAUGACUGGGCGUAAAGGGCUCGUAGGCGGCGGUCACCGUCAGAUGUGAAAUUCCUGGGCUUAACCUGGGGGCUGCAUUUGAUACGUGGUUGCUUGAGUGGGGAAGAGGGUCGUGGAAUUCCCAGUGUAGCAGUGAAAUGCGUAGAUAUCGGGAGGAAUACCGAUGGCGAAGGCAGGUCUCUGGGCUGACACUGACGCUCAUGCACGAAAGCGUGGGGAGCAAACAGG